AAUUCUCCAAGGAAUUGUGAUUUGGAUGCGGAUUCAAAAUAAGGGCAUGCAAUGCCAGGGUAGCAUGGCAAGCACACCGAAGGAUUAUUACGAGAAGGUGUGUGCUACCGGCUAGGUGGCCUUCACCUAGGGAAGUUCCCAACCUGGUAGCUCUCCCCUGUGACGACAAGAUGAGCAUAUAGGUCCUUCGGGACAAGCCAACGUGCGCUGCUCACGGUAAAAUUGUGGCGUCGGGUCAAAGGAUUGCUUUAUAUAUCAUAGUACUGAAGACAUGGGUACCGGUGGGCCUCUUAGUUGUUAAAGAUCCUAUCGCUACUUUAUGGACUAGCAGGAGCAGUAGCAGUAGUAGUAGAAGUGUCUGGGACUCCAUUCUAUAGACUAGACGGCUUUGGAUAAGCAUAGACGGUGUAACUUUAUUGCUUAUAAGAUUAUUGAAUACUAGCACAUUAUGUGUUUAUGAUUUUAUAAUGAGAGUUUACAGUACUCUGGUGAU
Molecule: non-coding RNA, 493 nt
Organism: Corylus avellana
Lineage: Eukaryota; Viridiplantae; Streptophyta; Magnoliopsida; Fagales; Betulaceae
Source: RefSeq, a predicted model, not a curated record